This is a small nucleolar RNA of Triplophysa rosa, 101 nucleotides long. RefSeq annotates it as small nucleolar RNA SNORA15. The record is from RefSeq and is a predicted model, not a curated record. The transcript has a single exon. NCBI's taxonomy places the organism in Eukaryota, Metazoa, Chordata, Actinopteri, Cypriniformes, Nemacheilidae.
GCAUGGCUGAAUUCUGUGUUACUCUGUCAGUGGGAAAGACAGUCAGACACCAUGCCACAUCAUCAGCAUCACUCCUCGCAUGCGUCACCGUGGUAUCAAAC